Molecule: non-coding RNA, 5542 nt
Organism: Rhopilema esculentum
Lineage: Eukaryota; Metazoa; Cnidaria; Scyphozoa; Rhizostomeae; Rhizostomatidae
Source: RefSeq, a predicted model, not a curated record
CUUGCAAUGGAAAAGUGAAUUUAUUGAGGAUGAAUUUGAUUCUUAAAAGGCCAUGAGUUCGACGCUCUUGAAGUAAAAGUUGCUUAAAGAAACUCCAGUCAAACGGGGCUGAUUUACUUAGAAGCUAUCAUUACACGAAUUUUACACCGGUCCUUGAAAAAUAUCAGCUGUGAAACUACAUUUUAUUAGAUACCUUUCAAAAGAAUUAAUUGGUAUAAGCUCUAGUUCGUUGAAAUAAACUUCAAAUGUCACCAAUUUUGCAAAGGAUUCACUUUUAUCCAAGGACAUGACUGUAUGGAAUGUCUGUUGACAAGAAACAGUUUUAUUUGGAUUGGUUCUAUAUCGAUGGAGGUCGCUACAUUUGCCUCUGCUAAUUUUCUUGAUAGAACGACCAUUUCUGCGUAACUUUCAAAAUGACCAAUUAAACACCCUAGGAGCCAUUACAAGAAUCCACUAAAUUACAUCUAUUCUUUCUUUCUUCAUUUGAGCAGAAGGUACAGGUGUUUCAGAUGGACAAGCUCGGUAAUUUUGUAAAGAACAAUAAACAUGCUGCCCAAACACAAAAUAAAUGUGUUGGCGUCGCGGCGUCGCGGCGUCGCGGCGUCGCUGUUCCCCGAAACACAAUCAUUAUUUACUGAGCGGCAAGGAUGAGGUUUUCACUAUGAAAUCAGCUUUGCUUCUCGUUCACCUGGAUCGGAAACUAAAAUUAUCAAAAGACCCACGCCCAAUGCGUACCUGGGCACAUUUACCGUCCGUAGAAAUUCUUGCAGGCAAAGCGCCUCGCUAUAAAGUUUUAUAUUGAUAGAUGUUGGCCUUACCUUGAUGCGGAUCUUCAUUGAUCAGUGAAAUUUUCUCUCUGUACAUUGCUAUUUCAUUUCCAGAUGUGUUUGCAAGUAAACUUGCAGCUGCGUGUAGUGGUGUAGUCGUAAAAUUUUAGGAGGUUUAACACAAGUUUAACAGCGUUUUAUCAGUUUUUUCUUCUGUGGUCUUGGAAAAAAAGCUCAAAAUAGGCAUUGUACACUAAGACACACUAUUUCAAUACUCGUCAAAAGUGUGCAAUUUGACUAAGAACUCCUUACUUGCUGCCGGCUGCUGAAUUCUACAACCCUAGUUUGAAAAAAUCUGCAAUUCUAGACCUUUGCAAUCAACUAACAAACGCUCUUGGUAAAGAAACACCUUCUUGUACAUUUGUAUACUUUGCUAAGGCUUUUGACACGGUUGACCACAAAAUUUUAACAUAUAAACUCGGUCACUAUAGUAUAAAAGGUCCUGCUUUAAAUUGAUUAAGGUCAUACCUAUAAAGUCGAAUUCUACAAGUUUACAUUAACGGCACUUUGUCUAAACCCCGAAUUAUAACACACGGAUUACCCAAAAGUCCUCUUCUUUACAUUAAUGAGCUACCCUCUUGCUCCAGACUUCUUAGUUUUCAUCUUUUUGCUGAUGACACAGGCAUCUUUUUUUCUCAUACUAAUGCGAAGGACCUUGAGUCAGGGAUGUAAAUUGGCAGAUAUUUGGGGAGGGGGAGUGAAGGGCCCAAAAUUUCCGAUUGACAAAGGUCAAUUCUAAUUUUGUAUGAGGGCCUAAACUUUAAUAGUUUUUUACCAACAAAACCUUAUAAAUUGUGUCGUAAAUAAUUAUUCAGCUGUAUGAUAAAGUUUCUAGAUUUCAUAAAUUUGGAAGAUCGAGCAUAAAAACUGUUAGUUUAAUUAGUGCAUCAAAACAUACGUAGUCCAAAAAUCAGAUCGUAAUUUAAGAAACAUGAGGUCGUUUGGUCUUUCAUCGGUCGAUCUCGAACGGAGGAAGUUCUUGACAAUCUUCGAGCGACUAAAUGCUCUUUCAUUCUUUGCUACUGAUAUAUGAGUAGUAAGAGCUAACUUGUAAGUUCUUUAAGUCAUGGGAAAUGUACUGCGCUGUGUCACACUCUCCAGUAUUUAUGUGCCUGCCUUGACUUCAUUGUAAAUCAAGCUUUGUAGAAUUUUGCUCGUUAUCUUGGUAUUUUUCAAUUACAAAUAUAUAUCACAAUUUGCUUUAACUUUAGUGUUCCUGUAUUCAUUGUGUCAACUAUUCAAUAAAAAGACACUGGUCCAGAAAACCUCUGGGCUUGUCUCAAUCUCCUUGGCAAAAUUUCAACCCUAAAAUAAAACUUAUCAUUGUUAGUUAUCAUUCAUAUACAUCAGAAAGUGUUAUUAAAAUUUGUUGCUGAUGAAAAGAAUUUGAUUUGAUUGAUUUGAUGAGGGGACAAAGGAUGUUUACAUGAAGCAAUCUGAGGGCACUGCCUCGAGUUGACUUUGAUGGGAUGAAUGGCGGCAAACGUGAAGCCAAUGGAGUGGUUGGUCCCAUUGACGAUUAGGGUGCGAAUGCUAUGCCUGUGUGGAGAGAUUUCUUGUUUAUGAUAUCAUUUGGAAUCUUUAAUAAAAGCCUCCAAAUAAUGGCCAAAAGAUGAAUCUUUCAAGCUCUCAAAAAUCUGUUAGAAUGACUGAAGGAAGAUAUCAUUUGGAAUUUCAAACAGAAGUCUCCAAAUUUUGUUAAAAAGGUACGUCUAGGGACAAAGCUGCCAGAAGGUGCAAACGCUUCCCGAUGCCUCUUUUUGGCUUUGGAAAACGGCUGAAGAAAUUGUCUCCUUCCUGGGCGAAGGUAGAUGAAGCUUCAAAAGCACUUAGUGAACUGAAACAUUGCAAAAGCAAAAAUGGGUGCUCUAAAGUCAAGCGCUUUGCACAGAGCUUCGCAACUGUAUUGCAGAGUGUAACGUAGAUGGAUAGAAUACAGCAUGAUACUGCGCUGUAUGUUUUUACUCAUUUUAUCAGGAAACUUUAGAAAGCACUAGCAUACCAGACAUGAGAAUCCUCGCUUUGAAAACAGCACAAGGGAUACUUUAGUUUGAAGAUCUCUUUUUCCAGCCUAUCAAACUAUUCAGGUUUUAAAAAUUAUAAUCAUAAAGCUAACUAUAAGCAAGUUACUUUAAUGACGUCUUCCGAGGACUAGGCAAGAGUACCCUAGUCUAAGAAAAGCAAAGGGUAUUUCUAAGUUGCGGGAUAAUGUUAAACUUUUUCAGCAUAUCAAACUGUUUAGGUUUACCAAGUUUCAUGAGUGUUUAGCUAACUGUAUGAAGGUUGCUACAAUAACGUGUUCCGUGGACUGGGUACAGGUAUUCUAGUCUAUUAAUAGCGCUAUGGGUAUUUCUGAGUAAGGAAACCACUUUAUCUUUUUUAUCAUCUCAAAUUAUACAGUUUUACCAAAUUUUGUGCCACUAUAGCUAACAGGAAGGUACUAACAGCAAUAAUGUCUUCCAAGGACUGGGCACAAGUACCCCUUGUCUAAAAUUAGCACAAGGGGUAUUUUCAAGUUGAGAGACCUCUUUGAACUUUUCUGUUUAUCAAAUAAUGCAGGUUUACAAAGUUGGUUGUAAAGCUAACAAGAAGAAAUAUAGCACAACAAUGUGUCCCGUAGACUCGGCACAUGUUCCCUAGUCUAAAAAUAGCCCAAGAGGGCAUUUGUCAGAAGGGGUCUAUUUCCUAUUUUAUUAGACUCCUUAAGCAUUAUUAGACUACUAGAAGAUACAACUCGUGGAAAAAAGUAUCGCCAUGCACAGUGAGAACCUGUAUGAAAUCAAUGAUCAUGCUGACCAAGUUGAGUAUCAGUUGGAGUAUCUGGAUAAUCAGAGCCGCCGUAGCAAUGUCAGAAUUACCGGUGUUAGCGAAAACAAGGUCACAGAGAAAUCAUGGGAUGAUGUCAUAGAGUUAAUCGGCGAAACAACAGCUAUCGUAACCCAAAUCAAGUAGACCAAAUCAAAAUCUAGUAGCCUAGGCCUAUCAGUUUCUCAUAGGGCAAGCUCUAUAAAUGACAGUAGUUAUCAUGAAGUAUCCUUUGGUUAAUUUGCUGAACCUAACUGUUGUGUUGUUUACAGUGUUUGUUGAUCAGAAUUGUUGUUUUUACUUCAUUAAUAUCAUAUUUUCAUCAGUUUAGAUGCCUGAAAUAACAACGUCGUGUGGCAUUUGCCACAAAAACAUACCAGAUAAGCCUUUUCUCUCCUGCCAUUAUUGCAAUUCUUGUUUCCACAUAGAAUGUAAGGAAAUUUCUUUAUCGGAGUAUACAGCAAUUAUCAAUAGAGUUCACAAAGUUCCAUGGUUUUGCCUUACAUGCACAAUAGCACAAAAUGAAUCAAUUGUUCCUUUUUGAACAAUUGACGAUGUUGAAUUAUUAAACUUGUAUGAAGUGAAUAUCCCAUCCUUUCUCAAAUCAGCGCCAUCUUUCCAGAUCACCUCAAAUCUUAUGAAUUUGCCCAACCUUGGAGACUAUGAUGUUGCUGAGCGUUUACCUGUCAAUACUAACUCCUCUCAUCACACAUUACAGGACCUUUCUAAUCAUGAGCAUUCCCAAAAUGAUUUUUCUCUGCUACAUAUGAAUAUCAGAAGUCUGUCUUGUCACUAUGGUGAGCUUGUUUCUACUUUUGUGAGUCUGUCUAUUAAAUUUGAUGUUUUUGGAGUUUUUGAAACUUAGGAUUCUUUUGAAAAUCCAAUGAAAACCAAUGUUGAGAUUCCUGGUUACAGCUUUUUCUCUGGCCAAUCACACAAUCAGAAUGAUGGUGUUUGUAUUUAUGUAAAAGCUGGUCUUUCCCUAAUUGACAGAUUGACUUGAACAAUACCACUGCAGAUUAUGAAGCUGUCUGGGUUGAGGUUGAAAAUAGAAAAGGAAAAACACUUAUUAUUUAGCUGCUUGUAUCGCCAUCCAAACUCUAACCCUGAUAACCUCACUACCUAUUUGCUAGAAAUUCUUUCUAAUGCAGCUGUCACAAGCAAAUAAAUAUUUCUUUUAGGCGAUUUCAACCUUCUUUCACAACUUCUUUGAAUCUGUGUCAAAUACUCAUCAAUAUGCUACACGGUAAGCCACAAAAAAUGACAUUUUCUUAAUACGGAAAAAUACUCUACAAUAUGGUAUCAAGUCUGUACGUUUCCUUGGUGCUAAAUCUUGGAACAAUAUCCCAGUGGAUAUAAAAAUAUCAUUGUCUGUUGUCAGGUUUUCUCAAAAGUUUAAAACCUUUUUAUUCAACAAGAACUAUCAAAUUUGAUUUUGAAGCAAAAUUUAUAGUUUUAUCAUUCAUGUAAAUGAUCAAUUACUUUAAAAACUACCCUAGGAAAGGGGGUGCUCUCUCUUUGAUUAGUUUAUCUACUGAGAGAGCUCCUCCUAAAGAAAUUCCUCUACAAACAACAUCUUAUGUAAUCGCUAUUCAUUGUUAUUGAGUAUUUUAUUGUUAUUGCCUAUAUAUUGUCAUUAGUAAUGUGUUAACAUUGUAUGUAAUUAUUUGUAAUGUAGAAUAAAAAGAUGCUGUAUGUAGAGGGAUUUUAAAAUAUAAAACUGGACUGAACUGAAAUAUUACGCAUGUCAAAUUGUGCAUUUUCUUCACGUUCUAUGCUUUUCUCGCAACUUGCACGAUUUUUCAUCUUGUCAAUCUAUCUGGUACGCAGCUCAUGAACUGCAAGGAACCCAAUAAACUGAAAACAACUUAUCCUUACAUCUACGGGUUCACAACUUUCAAGAGUUUGCC